GACGAACUGUCCUAACGUUGUUCGGAAUCACUGGGCGUAAAGGGCGCGUAGGCGGGAUGGCAAGUCAGUCGUGAAAUCUCUCGGCUCAACCGAGAAACGUCGGCUGAUACUGCCGUUCUUGAGGGAUGCAGAGGAGACUGGAAUUCCCGGUGUAGCGGUGAAAUGUGUAGAGAUCGGGAGGAACACCGGUGGCGAAGGCGGGUCUCUGGGCAUCUCCUGACGCUGAGGCGCGAAAGCGUGGGGAGCAAACGGG
RNAcentral lists this ribosomal RNA (253 nucleotides) under uncultured bacterium. Its description in RNAcentral is "partial 16S ribosomal RNA". It matches the Rfam family "Bacterial small subunit ribosomal RNA", at positions 524 to 776 of the family's 1533-position model. The record is from RNAcentral.